UCUCAUGAGAUGAAAUCUAGAAGAUACAUGUUAGAAUAAAUCAUUUUCGUUACUUGUAUAAAAAUUUUUGUUGCUCUAGCAUACAUGCUACCCUAAUUUUUUCUUCAAUUGAUAUCAGAGCAAAGGUUGCAUGAUCAUGUUCUUAGAUCUGAAAUUCAAAUUAGAUCUAAAUUAUUUUGCUUAUGAUUAGAUCUUUAUUUUAGAUUGGAUCUAAAAAUUUAUGUUUAUCAAUUGCAUAUAUGAAGGAACC
RNAcentral lists this long non-coding RNA (250 nucleotides) under Elaeis guineensis (African oil palm). RNAcentral's name for it is "long non-coding RNA (EGUI_LNC047780)". The record is from RNAcentral. Lineage: Eukaryota; Viridiplantae; Streptophyta; Magnoliopsida; Arecales; Arecaceae.